Gallus gallus (chicken) is the source of this 1686-nucleotide long non-coding RNA. NCBI's taxonomy places the organism in Eukaryota, Metazoa, Chordata, Aves, Galliformes, Phasianidae. The record is from Ensembl.
UCCUGCCCUUGGCUGCCUGCUCAGCUAACAGCACUGGUCUUGUGACAUCCCGCUCAGAUGGCAGCACAUAUCCGUGUGUUUAAAAAAAUAUGUUAUCUUUACAGCAUUGCUCCAGUAAGAUGACACCCAGAAUACCAGGUACUGAAGAUAAGCAACAGAAGAACUAAAGAUUUGGAGCUGAAUGUGCAUAGAAGUACAUGCAUUCAAGUCCUGGGAUAACAACUUUUCCAAACCUCAUGAGAGCAGCGGUUUGGAGACACAGGACAAAUGCUCUUCCAAAGAGGUGGAGGAAGAGAAGAAAACCCUUCCCAUCUGCACUGAGAGCAUGGGAGCCAAGUUUCUGCCUGGAACGAUCUGAGGGGCUGAUGUACAGUUAUCCAGAAAUACAGCAUUUCAUCAUUUACUUCAAAGGACUACCACGGAAAGAGAGCAAAAGUAAGCCAGGUAAUGACUUUCCAAAGAAAAUCAUCAUGUACAUGGCACAGCUUUGCAAAGGGCUUCAUUCUGCUAGAGAGAAGAGCUACUGCCCUCGCUACUCUUCCUCCACCAUGUUCCCACAGUUCUCAUGCUUAUUUUAAACUUUCUUUCCCCUCUUUCCCACGUUCUUGUUUCUUUUUGAUAACAUUCAUUUAAUUAUAAAAAAUAUAAAGGGGUCAAAGGGUUGCUUUUGGAAUAAUGGAUGCCUAGGACAGCUGGGGCUUACUCAAGAUGGCAAGUCUUCUCAAGGAUACAGCUCCAAGUAUUCUGUGAGUGCAGAGUAAUAUUACAUCUUCUGCAACUUUGACAUUAACUUCCUGUGAAAUUCUGGUCUGCAAGUACGUGCUCUGCAGCAGUAUGACUGGCACUCCUGCUCCACAUUCAGUGUAUGUCCUUGCAGUUUUUAACAUCAGUGUUGAAGUUAUGUCCAGGAGCUGACUGCAGAGGAAAGCUUAGAACACACAAAUUUAUUUUCACUUUUGCCAACACCACUGAGCCCACAGGGAGCUCAUGUGUUACUGUGCCUUAAGUAAGCUGCUAGCCCAGAAUCACCUGUGAAAGCACUGCACGCAAGCAGUAAGUUGACCAUUACUGCCAACUUACUAACACAAGAAAUGUAACAAGUGUUGUAGAAAUAGAUUUCUAUCAGUCAGAAGUGCUUAAACUCAAUUUCUUUCACGGAUUAGUCUUUGAAUUGUUUGAAACACAGCAAGUUCCUCACACUGCUUGUGGGGAAGAGUAAGCAGCAAGGCUGGCUCAAGCAAGGCCUUGUCUCCAACAAGCGGCAGAUUCACGAACCAGACAGAUUCCCAGCUUUGGUCUCUGCCCGAUGCUUUGCCAUUUUCUCAUCCUUUGCUUUCUCAUUCUUGUUCUCUGUUUGUGUAAAAGGUGCAAUCAGAAAAUAAAGAGAUUACACUUCAUCUCCUGCCAGUAUCUCUGAUGCGAGUGCUGAAUGUAAAACUUGAAAUCAGUACUACGGAAGAACAGCUUCUAUCUACCAUUUGCUCAGAGAAGAUAUAAGGUUAAACAGGGGCUACUUACAUUUCUACACUGAUAUUACCAAAUCAUGUUAUUCUCAAAAGGAGGUUUUCCUGUGCCAGUUCAUUCUUUGGCUUUCUUGCUGCGUACACUAACCUGGAAGUUUGUUUAACAUAUACAGAUAUAUAUUGAAUAAUUGUUGACUAUAUACGACCCUUUUUAUGAUUGCAG